This is a long non-coding RNA of Homo sapiens (human), 236 nucleotides long. The record is from Ensembl. NCBI's taxonomy places the organism in Eukaryota, Metazoa, Chordata, Mammalia, Primates, Hominidae.
UGCCUUUAUCCAGAAGAGCCCAGUGAAGACCUCUGCUCUGUUUUCAGACCACGAGGACACUUGGUGUCCAGACCGCUUGGCCCCCACCCCUGCCAGGCUGUUCUCCAACAACAUCCCGACUCCAUUCCAGAGCAGCUGGGAGCCUACAGCAGCCUAGGAAUCUCCAUGCAGCCCCAGGUGGCAUGCAGGGCCAUGUCUCCUCUUGAGGACCUGUCUUCAGCGUCUCUUUUAGGCCC